RNAcentral lists this ribosomal RNA (253 nucleotides) under uncultured bacterium. Its description in RNAcentral is "partial 16S ribosomal RNA". It matches the Rfam family "Bacterial small subunit ribosomal RNA", at positions 524 to 776 of the family's 1533-position model. The record is from RNAcentral.
UACAGAGGGUGCAAGCGUUGCUCGGAAUCAUUGGGCGUAAAGGGUAGGUAGGUGGUCUCGUUUGUCUGGGGUGAAAGCCCAGGGCUUAACCCUGGAAGUGCCCCGGAAACGGCGAGACUGGAGUCUUGGAGAGGGUCGUGGAAUUCCCGGUGUAGCGGUGAAAUGCGUAGAGAUCGGGAGGAACACCAGCGGCGAAGGCGGCGACCUGGACAAGUACUGACACUCAACUACGAAAGCGUGGGGAGCAAACAGG